CUGACAUAUGUGACACGGCGGUGGCCCAUCUAUCUGGCGCGCGCACGCCAUCGCGGUCCUUGCCUUGCUCCACAAGUGGUGCAUACGCAUACGUAGGAUUGAGAACCAGGAAAGAAAAAGUUAGCUAUAGAGGUAGCUUUUCUCAGACGCUCUGCUGUAGUACCUUAGAUGAUGUCACGGUGCGCUGCAGCGGUGACUGCCUCUCCGGCGACGCCUUGCGAGUCUUCCCUGCGGACCUCAGGCGCCAAUGCACAAGACGCCAACGCGAGCGACACCUGCGAUGGUGUCGCUGAGGCCUCCCAUCGCACACCUACAGGACAUCGCCGUCAGCGCAGGUCCUGGACCCAAGAAGAGAAGCGCGCCUUUUGGAAGCAGAAGAAGUUAGAGAAGAGGGGACGCAGGAAAGCCGCCGCUGCUGACCGGCAGAAGGAGCAGCAGGCGCAGUGGGUGCGCCUGACGGAGAAGAGAAGGAGGCUCGCCGCGCUGAGGCGGUGCUGCUCCACGAGAGGCGUCGGCAGGCAGAAACGGCGCUGGUGAAUCGGUGCAAGGCCCAGCUUGCCGAUCCUCAUGUGCCGACGAUUGUCUUCGACCUCAGCUUUGCGUGGUGCAUGACGGAGGCAAACACAAAGAGCACCGUGUCGCAGGUGAUGCUGAGCUACAGCGCCCUGCGCACUGCCGGCUUUCCCUUCCGCCCCGUCAUCACAUCGCUGAUGGGCAAGGAGGCCAGUGACACCGAGCACGACGCGACCGCCCAAGCCAAAGUGCUGCAGGCUCUCAACAACUACGAGGGCUUCCGCCGAUUUCCACCUAGUGUGACGCAGGUGCAGCACUGGAGUGAACUCUUUGCGCCGAGUCAAGUCGUUUUCCUCACCGCUGACUCGCCGGACACCUCACCAGCAUCGAGCCAGAUACGGCGUACAUUGUCGGUGCCUUCGUCGACCACAACGCGCACAAGGGUUUGAGUUACGCCUCCGCGCAACGCCACGGCGUGCGCACGGCUCGGUUGCCCAUCAAGGAGAGUGUUGUCCUCGGCAACCGGUGCAAGGUGCUGACGAUCAAUCACUUGGUGGAGGUGCUCAUUCAGUAUGAGAAGCUGCGCGCCGCCGGGACUCCAAACUGGGCACAGGCGAUCAACGGCGCGCUGCCGACGCGCCGCGCUCAGCAAGUGAUCAAAGGACGACGAAAACGUUGGCGAGUGAGCGUGACAGGAUCAGGUGACGAGGAGGGCGAUGAUGAAGAGGUUAGUGAUGACGGUUGCUCAAAUUGCAGGCUGGACAGCGAAAACGGUUCUGCAGCUGCUGAGGAGUGCCCGUGCGAGAGGGUCGAAUAGUUCGGCCUACCUUCCGCACGAAGUCUGUGGCAUGCUGUAUUGAGCAGCUGCGUGCCGUGUGCGGGGCGACGUGCCCACGGAGUCCAAUUGGCGGCUCCCCCUUUCCCAGGACGGAGGCAUCCCGCCUUGUGACGAGGAAUGCCAGACGCAUCACUCGCCUCUUUAGGACCCUCACGUCCGUUGUCACGUCACUGCGAACGCAAAACGCACACGCACACGUCGAAAAGAGUCACAUUCGACUGGAUCACUCGUGCGAAGCAACAAC
RNAcentral lists this unclassified non-coding RNA (1595 nucleotides) under Leishmania donovani. Its description in RNAcentral is "gene:LdHU3.30.4120(CDS-product:tRNA_(Guanine-1)-m ethyltransferase_putative)". The record is from RNAcentral. Lineage: Eukaryota; Euglenozoa; Kinetoplastea; Trypanosomatida; Trypanosomatidae.